Molecule: transfer RNA, 73 nt
Filed under: bacterium
Lineage: Bacteria
Description: tRNA-Arg
Rfam family: tRNA
About the family: Transfer RNA (tRNA) molecules are approximately 80 nucleotides in length.
Source: RNAcentral
GCGCCCGUAGCUUAAUGGACAGAGCAUCAGAUUGCGGAUCUGACGGUUGUGGGUUCGACUCCCGCCGGGCGCG